This 305-nucleotide ribosomal RNA is filed under the name uncultured bacterium. RNAcentral describes it as "bacterial SSU rRNA". It matches the Rfam family "Bacterial small subunit ribosomal RNA", at positions 334 to 636 of the family's 1533-position model. The record is from RNAcentral.
GCGCCCUACGGGGGGCAGCAGUGAGGAAUAUUGGUCAAUGGGCGCGAGCCUGAACCAGCCAUGUCGCGUGAGGGAGGACGGCCCUACGGGUUGUAAACCUCUUUUGCCGGGGAGCAACGGGCGUCACGUGUGGCGCCACUGAGAGUACCCGGAGAAAAAGCAUCGGCUAACUCCGUGCCAGCAGCCGCGGUAAUACGGAGGAUGCGAGCGUUAUCCGGAUUUAUUGGGUUUAAAGGGUGCGCAGGCGGUCUGUUAAGUCAGCGGUCAAAGCCCGGGGCUCAACCCCGGCCCGCCGUUGAAACUGG